GCGGAUAUUGAAAAAAGAUUAAGAUAGGGAUUUUGACAUCAUAUGGGAUUUUUUUUUCUCUUUUUAUUUAAGUUUGAGUAUGUAAGAAGAGGGGUUGCUAAGAUUUUGAGGUGGUAAGUUUCAAGAUUGGCUUGGGAUUUUUAAUGCCACUUAUUAAAUUCUUAUCUUUUUAUAUUGAAAUUUGGAAGAAAGUUAGAUUUAGUUGUAAUCUUUUUAAUAAGCUUUAGCAUGCAAGAAGAAGAUCUAUAAGUAAAGAGAUCCAUGUAAGUUUUUAGGAAGAGAGGCCUUUGAAAUUUUUGUGCAAUAUAAUUUGAAAUUGGUUUAGAAUUUUCUAUGCUAAUUACUAUGCUUUUAUUAUUAUUUUUUGAGAUUUUGAAAAAAACUAGAUCUUAUUGUUAGUUUUUUAAUAAGUUUUAGCAUGCAAAAAGAAGAGUUGUGACAAAGAAGGUCCAUGUGAAUUUGUGAGAGGGGAGUUAUAAGAGUUUUUAGGGUGAUGUCAUUCAAGACCAAUUCGAAAUAUUUUGUGCAAUUCUUAUUUUUUUUUUAUUUUUAUUUUUAUUUUUUUUGAUUUGAGAUUUUGAAAAAAGCAAGAUCUUUUUUUUAACUUUUUAAGGAGUUUUAAUAUGCAAGAAGAAAAGUUAUAAUGAAGGAGAUCUAAACUAAUUUGUAGAUGGAGAUUUUGAAAGCAAUGGUUGCAAUAAGUGGCCAAUUUUUUUUUUCUUGAUUUGACUCUCAUUUUUUCAAAAUUUUAUUUAUUUACUUUGAUAAUUUAAAGUUUGUAACUUGAAUUAAGCUCAAUGAGCUAUAAUUUACCUAGAUUGAGUUAAUAAUAAUUGAACUAUAGGUAUUUUACUAAAAAGAGGUUUCAAUUUAAGAUUAGAAUUACUGAUUAGGUACAUCUUAGCUUAAGAAAGAAAUUAAUUUAAA
Molecule: long non-coding RNA, 927 nt
Filed under: Physcomitrium patens
Lineage: Eukaryota; Viridiplantae; Streptophyta; Bryopsida; Funariales; Funariaceae
Description: long non-coding RNA (PPAT_LNC011065)
Source: RNAcentral